AACGAACGCUGGCGGCGCGCCUAACACAUGCAAGUCGAACGAGAAUCCGGGGCAACCCGGUAGUAAAGUGGCAAACGGGUGAGGAAUACAUGGGUAACCUACCCUUGAGAAGGGAAUAACCCGCCGAAAGGUGAGCUAAUACCCUAUACGCUAUCUUUUUUUCGAAAAGGAUAGGAAAGCCGGGUCGAGGACCUGGUACUCAAGGAGGGGCUCAUGUCCUAUCAGCUUGUUGGUGGGGUAACGGCCUACCAAGGCUACGACGGGUAGCUGGUCUGAGAGGAUGAUCAGCCACACUGGCACUGAGAUACGGGCCAGACUCCUACGGGAGCAACAGUGAGGAAUAUUGCGCAAUGGGCGAAAGCCUGACGCAGCGACGCCGCGUGGGGGAUGAAGGCCCUCGGGUCGUAAACUCCUGUCACAUGUUAUGAAACGCACAGGUCUACCUGUGCGCUGACAAAAGCAUGAGAGGAAGUCACGGCUAACUUCGUGCCAGCAGCCGCGGUAAAGUG
RNAcentral lists this ribosomal RNA (509 nucleotides) under uncultured bacterium. Its description in RNAcentral is "bacterial SSU rRNA". It matches the Rfam family "Bacterial small subunit ribosomal RNA", at positions 29 to 527 of the family's 1533-position model. The record is from RNAcentral.